GAUGAACGCUGGCGGCGUGCCUAAUACAUGCAAGUCGAGCGAACAGACGAGGAGCUUGCUCCUCUGACGUUAGCGGCGGACGGGUGAGUAACACGUGGAUAACCUACCUAUAAGACUGGGAUAACUUCGGGAAACCGGAGCUAAUACCGGAUAAUAUAUUGAACCGCAUGGUUCAAUAGUGAAAGACGGUUUUGCUGUCACUUAUAGAUGGAUCCGCGCCGCAUUAGCUAGUUGGUAAGGUAACGGCUUACCAAGGCAACGAUGCGUAGCCGACCUGAGAGGGUGAUCGGCCACACUGGAACUGAGACACGGUCCAGACUCCUACGGGAGGCAGCAGUAGGGAAUCUUCCGCAAUGGGCGAAAGCCUGACGGAGCAACGCCGCGUGAGUGAUGAAGGUCUUCGGAUCGUAACACUCUGUUAUUAGGGAAGAACAAAUGUGUAAGUAACUAUGCACGUCUUAACGGUACCUAAUCAGAAAGCCACGGCUAACUACGUG
RNAcentral lists this ribosomal RNA (497 nucleotides) under uncultured bacterium. Its description in RNAcentral is "partial 16S ribosomal RNA". It matches the Rfam family "Bacterial small subunit ribosomal RNA", at positions 28 to 507 of the family's 1533-position model. The record is from RNAcentral.